This 660-nucleotide ribosomal RNA is filed under the name Escherichia coli. RNAcentral describes it as "bacterial LSU rRNA". It matches the Rfam family "Bacterial large subunit ribosomal RNA", at positions 591 to 1251 of the family's 2925-position model. The record is from RNAcentral. Lineage: Bacteria; Pseudomonadati; Pseudomonadota; Gammaproteobacteria; Enterobacterales; Enterobacteriaceae.
GUGUGACUGCGUACCUUUUGUAUAAUGGGUCAGCGACUUAUAUUCUGUAGCAAGGUUAACCGAAUAGGGGAGCCGAAGGGAAACCGAGUCUUAACUGGGCGUUAAGUUGCAGGGUAUAGACCCGAAACCCGGUGAUCUAGCCAUGGGCAGGUUGAAGGUUGGGUAACACUAACUGGAGGACCGAACCGACUAAUGUUGAAAAAUUAGCGGAUGACUUGUGGCUGGGGGUGAAAGGCCAAUCAAACCGGGAGAUAGCUGGUUCUCCCCGAAAGCUAUUUAGGUAGCGCCUCGUGAAUUCAUCUCCGGGGGUAGAGCACUGUUUCGGCAAGGGGGUCAUCCCGACUUACCAACCCGAUGCAAACUACGAAUACCGGAGAAUGUUAUCACGGGAGACACACGGCGGGUGCUAACGUCCGUCGUGAAGAGGGAAACAACCCAGACCGCCAGCUAAGGUCCCAAAGUCAUGGUUAAGUGGGAAACGAUGUGGGAAGGCCCAGACAGCCAGGAUGUUGGCUUAGAAGCAGCCAUCAUUUAAAGAAAGCGUAAUAGCUCACUGGUCGAGUCGGCCUGCGCGGAAGAUGUAACGGGGCUAAACCAUGCACCGAAGCUGCGGCAGCGACGCUUAUGCGUUGUUGGGUAGGGGAGCGUUCUGUAAGCCUG